GACAUAGGUGGCGAACGUUAUCCGGAAUUAUUGGGCGUAAAGGAUGCGUAGAUGGCGUGAUAAGUUAUCAGUGGCAAAUCGGGGCUCAACCUCGUGGAAGCUGUUAAUACUAUCAUGCUUGAGUUCAGGAGAAGUUAACGGAACUCCAUGUGGAGCGGUAAAAUGUGACGAUAUAUGGAAGAACACCGAUAAGGCGAAGGCAGUUAACUAUUUUGUUACUGACAUUGAGGCAUGAAAGCGUGGGGAGCAAAACGG
Molecule: ribosomal RNA, 255 nt
Filed under: uncultured bacterium
Lineage: Bacteria
Description: partial 16S ribosomal RNA
Rfam family: Bacterial small subunit ribosomal RNA
Source: RNAcentral